This 477-nucleotide ribosomal RNA is filed under the name uncultured bacterium. RNAcentral describes it as "partial 16S ribosomal RNA". It matches the Rfam family "Bacterial small subunit ribosomal RNA", at positions 30 to 507 of the family's 1533-position model. The record is from RNAcentral.
AUUGAACGCUGGCGGCAUGCCUUACACAUGCAAGUCGAACGGUAACAGGUUAAGCUGACGAGUGGCGAACGGGUGAGUAAUGUAUCGGAACGUGCCCAGUCGUGGGGGAUAACUGCUCGAAAGAGCAGCUAAUACCGCAUACGACCUGAGGGUGAAAGCGGGGGAUCGCAAGACCUCGCGCGAUUGGAGCGGCCGAUAUCAGAUUAGGUAGUUGGUGAGGUAAAGGCUCACCAAGCCGACGAUCUGUAGCUGGUCUGAGAGGACGACCAGCCACACUGGGACUGAGACACGGCCCAGACUCCUACGGGAGGCAGCAGUGGGGAAUUUUGGACAAUGGGCGCAAGCCUGAUCCAGCCCUGCCGCGUGCGGGAAGAAGGCCUUCGGGUUGUAAACCGCUUUUGUCAGGGAAGAAAAGGUUCUGGCUAAUACCUGGGACUCAUGACGGUACCUGAAGAAUAAGCACCGGCUAACUACGUG